UGGGGAAUAUUGCACAAUGGGGGAAACCCUGAUGCAGCGACGCCGCGUGAGCGAAGAAGGCCUUCGGGUCGUAAAGCUCUUUUAUAUGGGAAGAUAAUGACGGUACCAUAAGAAAAAGCCCCGGCUAACUACGUGCCAGCAGCCGCGGUAAUACGUAGGGGGCUAGCGUUGUUCGGAUUUACUGGGCGUAAAGCGCACGUAGGCGGACUAUUAAGUCAGGGGUGAAAUCCCGGGGCUCAACCCCGGAACUGCCUUUGAUACUGGUAGUCUUGAGUUCGAGAGAGGUGAGUGGAAUUCCGAGUGUAGAGGUGAAAUUCGUAGAUAUUCGGAGGAACACCAGUGGCGAAGGCGGCUCACUGGCUCGAUACUGACGCUGAGGUGCGAAAGCGUGGGGAGCAAACAGG
This 404-nucleotide ribosomal RNA is filed under the name Verrucomicrobiota bacterium. RNAcentral describes it as "Verrucomicrobia bacterium partial 16S ribosomal RNA". It matches the Rfam family "Bacterial small subunit ribosomal RNA", at positions 355 to 776 of the family's 1533-position model. Lineage: Bacteria; Pseudomonadati; Verrucomicrobiota. The record is from RNAcentral.